Molecule: RNA transcript, 1415 nt
Organism: Diospyros lotus (date-plum)
Lineage: Eukaryota; Viridiplantae; Streptophyta; Magnoliopsida; Ericales; Ebenaceae
Exons: 7
Source: RefSeq, a predicted model, not a curated record
CGCUACCGGUACCAGCGAUGCACUUGUAGGCUAUUAUCUGUUGACGUCUAAAAAAAAAACCCUAGUUCUUACUGUCUUUGUCGUUUGUUGCUGCCAAAGCUUGUACCGGCUGGUUGGUCCUGUUGAAAAUGGCACUUUCGAGGGUUUCUUGGCAUAGGAUUUCCUUGUGUGGCCACAAGUAUCUGUCUUCUCUGUUUCCUUUCUCGUUGUCUGGUCAUCUGGCAUCGUCUCUUCAGCAAACGUACCCCAGCAGAUUUAAUCUCUCUGCUUCUCUCUCUAGUUCCACCCAGGAAUCAACUCCCAAGCAGAGCAGUCGAUGGAGGCCUAUGUGUUUGUACCAUGCCCAGGGUAAGUGCACGAAGAUGGAUGAUCCUAUCCACCUAGAGAAAUUCAAUCAUAAUUGCUCUGUGGAGCUUAAAGUAAGCUCUGACAAGUUCAAACACACACGCUCUCAGCAAUUAGACUUUUUCCUUGUGCUUGAUUUGGAGGGAAAAGUAGAGAUUCUGGAGUUUCCUGUUCUAAUGCUGGAUGCCAAUACACUGGAUGUGGUGGAUGUGUUCCACAGAUUUGUGAGGCCCUCUGCUAUGAGUGAGGAAAGGACAAUGCAGUAUAUAGAAGGAAAAUAUGGAAAACUAGGAGUUGAUCGUGUUUGGCAUGAUACAGCUAUUCCAUUUGAGGAAGUUAUUCAACAGUUUGAAGCAUGGAUUGGUCUUCAUCACUUAUGGGAAAAAGAGCUCCCUGGGGAUCUUAGAAAAGCUGCAUUUGUGACUUGUGGGAAUUGGGAUCUGAAGACAAAAAUCCCUCAACAAUGCAGAGUAUCAAGGAUGACACUUCCCCCAUAUUUUAUGGAAUGGAUCAAUCUGAAGGACAUCUAUCUAAACUUCUACAAGAGGAGGGCCACAGGAAUGAUGACAAUGAUGAGGGAACUUCAGAUGCCACUGGUAGGAAGUCACCAUCUAGGCAUUGAUGAUACGAAAAACAUAACGAGAGUGCUACAGCGCAUGCUUACUGAUGGUGCGCUUAUGCAGAUCACUGCGAGGAGAAAUGCUGAACAUCCUGAGAAUGUUGAAUUUCUUUUCGAGAACCGUAUCAGGUAGAAAUUCACUCGUGGAGAAACCAGUUAUUGGCAGUGGUGACCGGAAAAUGAGAAUCUUCCUUUGUACAUUUAUGGAAAAGGGUUACAUGAAAGUGAGAGUUGCAGCAUCUGAUCAUCAAAAUGGAGGGGUGGGUGGGGGAUUCAAAACAUGCGUUGUAGAGUUUGAUUAUCAUCAUAUUGAUUUGGAAUUCAAAUCCGACGAAGCCAGUAUCUGCUCCGCCAUCUGCAUCUGAAGCUGAUACCUAAGCAACUGGGCAACUGCAUCUUCCGAUGGUUCAAGCUGCUGCUGCUCCUCCUUCUGAGGCCGCCCCUGCGAAGC